GUUAUAAGGCAGUGGCUACAUUCACCGUACAGUAAUAUUAGCAGCUCCUGUACAGUUCGCGUGGCUUUAUAAUUUUGCAUAGGAUAAUUGUCUCUCUAAGGCGAAGGACCUAAGUAAAGUCUAUUACAUCUAAAAGGGAUAAUCAGUAGAGUAUACUGUUACUAAAUCUUAUUUACCAUAAGAAUAUACAAGAAGUCAUAGGAUAUGUUACUCUCAGCCAUUUUUUUUUUUUACAGGAUAUAGAUCACUUACAAGAUAACAAAUUCCAAAAUUCUUAGAAGUUUUAUAUGAACUUAAAGGGCCAGCUCCUUCAACACUACCCAUGAAGUCUUUACAGCAAUACCUUGGUAAACAGACACCAACUACCCUUACUGAUGUCAGCUGAUUCAGAUGUUGCUGCGUGAAGUGCUUUGUAGGUCAGAACACGAGAUUCCAGGGUUCCUGAAGAAGUGCUGUGCAGUGGUGCUCGGCUCAUGAGAUGGUAGGAAAAGUACAGCACACAAUGGACACUCAGUCACAGGGCCUGAAGACAAGACUGGGUCAACAUUUUUCUCCACAGUUGUCAACGUGAAAGAGUUCAUUGCAGAAGCCUCCUAUUGGAAGAACAAAGUAUCCAGUUCUGAAAUGCUAAGUAAUCUGAAAACUGGACAUCCAGAGCAUGUGGAUUCAAGUUCCCUUGAGCAGGAAAAAUGUUAAAACUCCGUCUCUCCAGCCUGAGACACUAAGCAAGCAAUUCAUCAAGAGAACAACAAAGGCAGGAACCGAAAGAUAAAACAUCCAGGUCAGUAACUCAU
Molecule: long non-coding RNA, 794 nt
Filed under: Anser brachyrhynchus (Pink-footed goose)
Lineage: Eukaryota; Metazoa; Chordata; Aves; Anseriformes; Anatidae
Description: lncRNA (ENSABRG00000004689.1)
Source: RNAcentral